Molecule: ribosomal RNA, 253 nt
Filed under: uncultured bacterium
Lineage: Bacteria
Description: partial 16S ribosomal RNA
Rfam family: Bacterial small subunit ribosomal RNA
Source: RNAcentral
UACGGAGGGUGCGAGCGUUGUCCGGAAUCAUUGGGCGUAAAGGGCGCGUAGGUGGCCCGGUCAGUUCGUGGUGAAAGCGCGGGGCUCAACCCCGGGUCGGCCGUGGCAACUGUCGAGCUGGAGCACUGUAGAGGCAGGUGGAAUUCCGGGUGUAGCGGUGGAAUGCGUAGAGAUCCGGAAGAACACCGGUGGCGAAGGCGGCCUGCUGGGCAGUGGCUGACGCUGAGGCGCGACAGCGUGGGGAGCAAACAGG